RNAcentral lists this long non-coding RNA (215 nucleotides) under Setaria viridis. RNAcentral's name for it is "long non-coding RNA (SVIR_LNC008356)". The record is from RNAcentral. Lineage: Eukaryota; Viridiplantae; Streptophyta; Magnoliopsida; Poales; Poaceae.
CAGAUAUGUUAGUAUGUCACUGAAGCCAUACUAAUGAGGCAGAGUAAUUUGCGUGUGUGAAGGGAUCUACUCCUGCUGCUGCAACCUGUAAAGAGGCCACUCAGUUUAUUUCCAAUGACUGCAUGAGCAGGCAGUAGGCACAGCCCGAAUCCCACAGUGGAAGAAGCCCUUGCAGACCUGCAGGCUGCAGCACGGUUGCCAGUGUCACACAAAGU